This 552-nucleotide ribosomal RNA is filed under the name Triticum aestivum (bread wheat). Its description in RNAcentral is "partial small subunit ribosomal RNA". Lineage: Eukaryota; Viridiplantae; Streptophyta; Magnoliopsida; Poales; Poaceae. The record is from RNAcentral.
AUGACGGCCUGCUUCAGCAGCAUCGAGGACUUGGUCGAUGACUUCUUCCCGGGCCAUUCCGUUGCUGCGAACCAGAUCAUCGAGGCCCAACGUGAAGAGCAGAGGGCGGAGGGCGUGCAGAUUGCUACUGACGCCCCCCGGACCCUCAACGAGCAGCUCCUCAGUAUCCAGGCCCGCCUUCGGCCUGCCCACCAGAUACUACGCCGCCUUCAGCGCAUCAGAGCCCAGGCAAUCUCCUCCCUCUGGCCGGGCGUGCAGGCUCCACGCACCCCGAGUCGGACUGCCGACUGGUUGGAGGUGGCGGCCGACCGCCUGGAGGCCUGGAAGGGCUCUGUAGCCCGGGAAGGAGCGUGCCGAGCCCUGGAAUUUGUCAAGGCGUGGUACCCUGGGAUAGAUGUAGCCCAGUUGACCAUGUUUUGGCUGGAAGCACAGGAGGAGCUGGUGGCGGGUGGAAGCCGAGCUUAUCAGCAGGGCGGCGGCGAUUGUUGGGGAACGUUGCAUAAAAUAAAAUUUUUCCUACGUUCACCAAGAUCCAUCUAUGAGUUCAUCUAG